Molecule: ribosomal RNA, 2703 nt
Filed under: Triticum aestivum (bread wheat)
Lineage: Eukaryota; Viridiplantae; Streptophyta; Magnoliopsida; Poales; Poaceae
Description: partial small subunit ribosomal RNA
Source: RNAcentral
AUGGCCGAGGCUGUACUUAUUGCUGUGACGAAGAUUGGUUCCAUUUUAGGAGAUGAAGUCAUCAAGGCCAUCAUAUCCGAGCUCUCUGUAAAAGUUACUAAUCUGAAAGAACUGCCGGUAAAGAUUGAGCAAAUAAGGCAGCAACUGAAUAUGAUGAGUAAUGUAAUAAUGCAGAUAGACACUGUAUACCUGAUGGACAAAGGGGUCAAGGAUUGGAUUGGGGAAGUCCGCAACGUGGCCUACCAUGUUGAAGAUGUAAUGGAUAAAUACUCAUACCAUGUACUUAAACAUAAGGAACAAAGUCGCCUGAAGAAAUUGUUGAAAGGAAAAGAUUAUGCAGUUUUCAGUCAAAUUGCGGAUGAGGUAGUUGCUGUAGAGGAGGAGAUUGAGCAAGUUGUAAAGUUGAAAGAACGUUGGUUGCAGCCCUUCCAGCUUGUCGCUGACCCACUUACUGAGAUUGAAAGACGGCGGUCCCAGGACAGCUUCCCUGAAUUUGUGAAAGAUCAAGAUCUAGUAGGAAUUGAAGAAAACAGGAUGUUGCUGACCGGAUGGCUGCACUCUGAAGAGACGGAGAACAAUGUGAUAACAGUAUCAGGCAUGGGCGGGUUGGGAAAAUCUACCUUGGUUUCAAAUGUUUAUGAACGUGAAAAGAUCAAGUUCACUGCACAUGCAUGGAUCGUUGUGUCACAAAUUUACACUGUUGAUGCUCUGUUGAGGAAGAUACUAUGGAAGAUUGGAUACACCGAAAUACCAUUGUCAGCAGGCAUGGACAAAAUGGACAUAUAUGACUUGAAAAAGGAAAUAGAGAAGAUGCUUGAAAAUAGAACAUAUCUGAUUGUACUUGAUGAUGUCUGGGAGCAGGAGGUAUACUUCAAAAUAUGUGAUGCUUUCCAGAAUCUCCAAGGAAGCCGCAUAAUCAUUACGACACGGAAGGACCAUGUUGCAGGAAUUUCUUCUCCCACCCGUCACCUCGAGCUCCUGCCAUUGAGCAAUCCUGAUGCAUUUAAGCUCUUCUGUAGAAGGGCUUUUCACAACAGGAAGGACCACACAUGCCCCAAGGAUCUUGAGACAAUUGCUGCUUCUAUUGUUGAAAAGUGCCAUGGCCUGCCUCUAGCAAUUGUUACCAUUGGGAGCAUGUUGUCUUCAAGACAAAAUUUAGAUGUUUAUAAGCAGAAGUACAAUCAGCUUGGACACGAGUUGUCAAACAAUGAUCAUGUCCGAGCAAUUUUAAAUCUGAGCUACCAUGACCUUUCAGACGAGCUCCGAAACUGCUUCUUGUACUGCAGUCUCUUCCCUGAAGACUACCCCAUGUCAAGUGACAGCCUUGUGAGGCUGUGGGUUGCGGAAGGCUUUGUGCAGAGUAAGGGAAAGAACACGCCAGAGAUGGUAGCUGAGGGAAAUCUCAUGGAGCUGGUCCAUCGCAAUAUGCUUGAGGUGGUGGAGUAUGAUGAGCUUGGUAGGGUCAGCAUCUGUAAGAUGCAUGAUAUUAUGCGUGAACUAGCUAGUUCUGUUGCUAAAGAAGAGAGAUUUGCUUCAACAGAUGAUUACAACACAGUGAUGGAUAUUCGUCGUCUGUCAUCAUGUGAAUGGAAAGAGGACACUGCCCUGAAAGCUAAACUUUCACAUCUUCGAACAGUAGUGUCAGUAAUUCCAUCCUCGCCUGACAUGCUAUCAUCAAUUUUAUCUGCAUCGAACUACCUUACUGUCCUUGAGCUGCAAGACUCUGAAAUAACUGAAGUGCCAAAAUCGAUUGGGUCUCAGUUCAAUCUGCGUUAUAUUGGGUUACGGCGCACCAAGGUCAAGGCACUUCCGGACACUAUUGAGCAUUUGUCUCGCCUCCACACCCUCGACAUCAAGCAAACCAAAAUAGAGAAGCUACCACGAGGGCUUUUCAAGAUCAAGAAGCUGCAACAUCUUUUCGCCGAUAGAUUUGUUGAUGAGAAGCAGGUAGAGUUUCGGUACUUUAAUGGAAUGCAAGCACCUAAAGAGCUGUCCAACUUGGAAGAACUGCAAACUCUUGAGACCGUGGAAUCCAGUAAUGACUUGGCCGAGCAGCUGAAGAAACUGAUGCAACUAAGAAGUUUGUGGAUUGAUAACAUUAGUGCCGCUGAGUGUGCAAAUCUGUUUGCUACCCUUUCAAAUAUGCCACAUCUUUCAAGCUUGCUUCUUUGUGCAAGGGAUGAGAAUGAGGAACUUUGCUUUGAGGCUCUCCAACCAAGGUCUACAGAUCUACACAAGUUGAUUAUCAGAGGGAAAUGGGCCAAGGGGACACUAAAUUGCCCGAUAUUUCUGAAGCAUGGGACACAUCUCAAGUAUCUAGCUCUAAGCGGGUGUCACCUUGUGGAAGAUCCACUGGAGAUGCUCGCCCGGCACAUGCCAAAGCUCACGUAUCUGAGACUUAACAACAUGCAUGGUGCAAGCACUCUGGCUCUUUCUGCAAAUUCCUUUCCAAACCUGAAGACACUUGUCUUAAAGUGCAUGCAUGAUGUCAGUGAGCUAAACAUCAGUGAGGGCGCUCUUCCAUGCGUUGAAGGUCUGUAUAUUAUCUCGCUGCCGAAGCUUGACAAGGUCCCUCAAGGCAUUGAAUCCCUUCGCGCCCUUAAGAAGCUCACACUGCAGUGCUUGCACAAGGAUUUCAUAAGUCAAUGGGACACCAACGGAAUGCAUCAGAAGACCCUGCAUGUUCCAGAGGUUUAUGUCUAG